RNAcentral lists this ribosomal RNA (332 nucleotides) under uncultured Enterobacteriaceae bacterium. RNAcentral's name for it is "bacterial SSU rRNA". It matches the Rfam family "Bacterial small subunit ribosomal RNA", at positions 1 to 351 of the family's 1533-position model. The record is from RNAcentral. Lineage: Bacteria; Pseudomonadati; Pseudomonadota; Gammaproteobacteria; Enterobacterales; Enterobacteriaceae.
CGGCUUAAGUUUGAUCAUGGCUCAGAUUGAACGCUGGCGGCAGGCUUAACACAUGCAAGUCGAACGGUAAAGUAGCUUGCUACUUACGAGUGGCGGACGGGUGAGUAACGUAUGGGAAUUUACCGAAUGGAGGGGGACAACAGUUGGAAACGGCUGCUAAUACCGCAUAACGUCUAGAGACCAAAGGGUUUCGACUUGCCAUUUGAUGAGCCCAUAUGAGAUUAGCUAGUUGGUGUGGUAAUGGCUCACCAAGGCGACGAUCUCUAGCUGGUUUGAGAGGAUGACCAGCCACACUGGGACUGAGACACGGCCCAGACUCCUACGGGAGGCAG